UACGAAGGUCCCAAGCGUUAUCCGGAUUUAUUGGGUUUAAAGGGUGCGUAGGCGGGCUAUUAAGUCAGUGGUGAAAGCCCCAAGCUUAACUUGGGAACUGCCAUUGAUACUGAUGGUCUUGAGUACAUUUGAGGUGGGCGGAAUGUGUCAUGUAGCGGUGAAAUGCUUAGAUAUGACACAGAACACCGAUUGCGAAGGCAGCUCACUAAACUGUAACUGACACUGAGGCACGAAAGCGUGGGGAUCAAACAGG
Molecule: ribosomal RNA, 253 nt
Filed under: uncultured bacterium
Lineage: Bacteria
Description: partial 16S ribosomal RNA
Rfam family: Bacterial small subunit ribosomal RNA
Source: RNAcentral